Molecule: ribosomal RNA, 119 nt
Filed under: uncultured bacterium
Lineage: Bacteria
Description: partial 16S ribosomal RNA
Rfam family: Bacterial small subunit ribosomal RNA
Source: RNAcentral
UGGUGCGGUGAAUACGUUCCCGGACCUUGUACACACCGCCCGUCAAGCCAUGGAAGCCGGGUGUACCUAAAGUCGGUAACCGAAAGGAGCCGCCUAGGGUAAAACUGGUAACUGGGGCU